GCAACAUGUACGAUUUAUCAUUUUGUAAAAGGGGAAUUACUGAGAUGAUAAUUCCCGGGUAUAAAGACGACUCAAUCGUGCAUUCCAAGCAUAGUCUUCCCAAACUACUAACCUAGUAACACAACUAGCACAACUGAAAAAGAUGGCAGAAUACGUAUCUAGGACUACUUUCACUUUUGUGCUGUUCGCCCUGCUGGCGACGGCCGCCCUCGCUAAUCCUAUUGAUUGGAGGCAGCAUUCCGUGGAUCCGCCGCAAACCCGCAUUUACGAGCACAUGCACCACCGCCACCAUCAUCAUCCGGCUGCUACGAUCGGCGAGGAUGCGCGGCAUGCCGCCGCAGUCCAUUUAAUUAGAUUUGCGCGCUCUCUACAACCCGGUGCUCCGCAAGUACCUUCGGAUUUCUUCAAAAAGUACCAAAAGCACACAUCGCUGCCAAAACCACGUAGAUAUUAACUAUAACUAAAUAAAUUACUAAUAUUUAACUUGAUUGACCUUAUGACCUCUACAAUCAAUCAAUAAACAUAAUAACGAUAACUUAUCUAUCAAUAAACGUUUCGUUUUUUACUUACUGUGGUGCCAAAAUACUGUAUUAGCAUAUGUGUGCAUUCAUGUAUUCAUGUUUUCUCAUUUCCAUUCGGAUAUUUGGUAUUCCAGACGAAUAUCCGCGAAUACGUUAGCAGACGUUAAGAAACUACAUUGUUGUGGCGAAAAUAAAAGUUUUUCCCUGUUUCGGCUCGUGCCUCACGUGGCAAUACUACUUCAGUUACUUCGUUCGCUCGCGCAGUGGAACUGAUCGAUUGUUAUUGCAUCGCACGACUACCGGAUUAAAAUGUGAAUGAGCGGGCGAAACAAACAAGAGUGAUUCGCAACGGGCUUUUACCCUACUUAGGAUAUUCAAUACUGAACAGGUCACGUAAAAUGUUCGGAGGGUUGCCUAAUGGAUAUUGAAGCAUAUUUAUAAUAAGUAAUAUAAAAAAUGGAGGAUUAUGUAUGUUUGGUUGCGUUUAACGCCUAAACUACUUAAGUUAUUUUCAUGAGUUUUGGUGUAAUGAUAGAUUAAAUGUUGGAGAAGAAUAUAGACUAGUUUUUGUUUGAAGAAUAAAGCUUUAAAGAGGAUAAAUGUGAGGUUAGUAUUUUUAAAGGUUAAAGUUAUAUACUUUAAACGGAAAUGGCGCAAUUGUCAAUUUUUAAUAAUUUUUAAGCUAAUUUAUGCUUAUUAACAUGAUAAACAUCAAAAUAAGUAUGUUUGUUUGCUUUUCACGCUUGAACCACCCAAGCAAUUUUCAUAAAUUUUGGUAAAAAGAUAGAUUGGACAUAAGAAAAGAACAUAGACUGCUUUUUGUCCCAAAAAUUUAUUUUUUAAAAAAUAAAAUUGAAGAUAAAAAUGUAUACAUAUGUACAAUUAAUGACGUUUAUAGUUAUCCACUUCAAACAUAAAUUGCGAAAGUGUUUUAAAUUCUCAUAACCUUUAUUAAUACAAGAAUAAAUAUUAUAAAAUUCA
Long non-coding RNA from Dalotia coriaria, 1502 nucleotides. RefSeq lists it as uncharacterized. The transcript has 3 exons. Lineage: Eukaryota; Metazoa; Arthropoda; Insecta; Coleoptera; Staphylinidae. The record is from RefSeq and is a predicted model, not a curated record.